UCUCCGUUGGUGAACCAGCGGAGGGAUCAUUACAGGACUCGCAAGACUCCUUCACCCUGUGAACCUCACUACAAGCACGUUGCUUCGGCGGGUGUCCCGGCGGGGGUUUUCCCUCGCCGGGGCGCACAGCCCGCCGGCAGCCUACUAUACUCUGUCUCUUUGCGUUGGCAUCUCGAGAAAAAACAAACAAGUUAAAACUUUCAACAACGGAUCUCUUGGUUCUGGCAUCGGUGAAGAACGCAGC
This 244-nucleotide unclassified non-coding RNA is filed under the name plant metagenome. Its description in RNAcentral is "partial contains small subunit ribosomal RNA, internal transcribed spacer 1, and 5.8S ribosomal RNA". The stretch from base 196 to 244 matches the Rfam family "5.8S ribosomal RNA", at positions 1 to 49 of the family's 154-position model. The record is from RNAcentral.